GACGAACGCUGGCGGCGUGCUUAACACAUGCAAGUCGAACGCUGAAGCUUGGUGCUUGCACGGGGUGACUGGGUGGCGACCGGGUGAGUAAUACGAGAGUAACCGGCGCUGGAGUCUGCGAUAAGCCUGCGAACCCGGGUCUAAUACUGGACACGACGUGUCCCCGCAUGGAGGUGUGUGGAAAGGGCUUUGCUAGUAUUGGAUGGCCUCAUGGCCAAUCAGCUUGUUGGUGGGGUACUGGCUCACCAAGGCGACGACGGGUAGCCGGCCUGAGAGGGUGACCGGCCACACUGGGACUGAGACACGGCCCAGACUCCUACGGGAGGCAGCAGUGGGGAAUAUUGCACAACGGGCGGAAGCCUGAUGCAACGACGCCGCGUGAGGGAUGACUGCCUUGGUGUUGUAAACCUCUUUCAGCACGGAACAUGCGAAAUUGACGGUACCUGCAGAAGAAGCGCCGGCUAACUACGUG
This 472-nucleotide ribosomal RNA is filed under the name uncultured bacterium. Its description in RNAcentral is "partial 16S ribosomal RNA". It matches the Rfam family "Bacterial small subunit ribosomal RNA", at positions 28 to 507 of the family's 1533-position model. The record is from RNAcentral.